CCCCUUUUUUUGCUGUUGGGCUGCGAAGGACUGGGCCGAAUCUGCUGGCCUGCUGGAUCAGCUGGGGUGCGGGCCGUGUGGAGUGGGCCGACUGCUGGGUGCUGGACUGGCCUGCUGCCCAACUGUUGGAAUGGGUCUGCUGUUGGCAUGCUAAAAAUGGCCUGCUUUCUUUUUUUUCUGCUGGGUUGCUGUUUUGGGCCACUGGGAAUGGGCCUGCUGCUGCUGGUGUGGCCUGCUGGGAGUGGGAUGGCCUGCUGUUGGCUGGACAGGUCUGCUGUGCUGCCUGGGUGUGGACUGGCCUGCUGUUGGGUUGGUGGGUGCCGUGGGUCAGGUCAGUUUUGCGGGUCGGGUUGACCCGACUGUGAUAUAUAUAAUUUUUUCUUUUGUCUUUUCUUUUUCUUCUUUCUUUUCUUUCUCUUUUUCUUCUUCGAGCCGAACCCUAGCCUUACGCCGCCGCUAACGCUUCCUCCGUUCGGUGGUGCAGUGGUCGGUGCUGGCGGUGGAAGGAAAGCAAGGGCGCGGCGGUGGGCACGGUGGUGGUGAAGGGCGGCCAGAUUUUUGAACUCUUUCUUUUGUUUUUUUUUCUGCUGCUGCUUUUUUUGUUUUGCUUUUCUUUUUGAUUAAUUGUGGCUUUCAAGUGGUGGAGGUAAGGGGAAAAAGACGGUGGCGGUGGUUGCGUGACGGUGUUUUGUAGUAUUAAGAGCUCGGAGGUUGGAUUCGGUUAGAGACGUAUCACACUAUCAACCUCAAGAUCUCGGUAUAUAAAGAAACUUUAUUUUGGAAAUCGAUGGCAUUUAUAAGCUAGUAAAGUAAAUGUUAAUGUGAAAUGAAUGAAUGGUUAGCCAUUGGUAUGGCUAACAAAUUUUGGUUUUGGUAUGUGAUGAGGUUAUCUUAUGAAUACGUUAAAUCUAUCUUGAAAAUAUGUUGAAAUUGA
Molecule: long non-coding RNA, 934 nt
Organism: Gossypium raimondii (Peruvian cotton)
Lineage: Eukaryota; Viridiplantae; Streptophyta; Magnoliopsida; Malvales; Malvaceae
Exons: 3
Source: RefSeq, a predicted model, not a curated record